This is a long non-coding RNA of Frankliniella occidentalis (western flower thrips), 1095 nucleotides long. RefSeq lists it as uncharacterized. The record is from RefSeq and is a predicted model, not a curated record. NCBI's taxonomy places the organism in Eukaryota, Metazoa, Arthropoda, Insecta, Thysanoptera, Thripidae. The transcript is spliced from 2 exons.
GUCUUAGUCAGCUGCUGGAGUGCUGCUCAGAUGUGGCCGGCGGCGGCCCCGGGAGUGCUGUGACCCGCGCGUCAUGGCCCCCGCUGUGGUCCAGUCGUUAGUAGUGCGUUAACGUAACCAGCUGCUGGAGUGCUGCCCAGAGGUGGCCGGCGGCGGCCCCGGGAGUGCUGUGACCCGCGCGUCAUGGCCCCCGCUGCGGUCUUUUCGUGAUUCAUGUCUUACCUUAUGAGUUUUACUGGGACUCUGUCGUGGUGAGUGCCGACUCGACGGCCAUAAAAGUGGCAGUAGAUCUCGUACUGUGGAUUGGGGCUACUACCUUAAGGUAGUUUUUUACCUUAAGGUUAAUUAACCUUUUGACUAAACAUAAAGAAUAUAUAAGUAACUUUAAGGUGUCAGCUAGCUUUUACUCUCGAUGAGUACAGAGAACCAAACGCAUACCAGAUAACAAAUUCUUUGGCGCUGGGGGACCGAGUGAGUGGCUGUGUGGCUGUCGCGUCAGGCCCCUACCCCUACCCUGCCUAACAAUACUAUUGGCUCCCCGUCCCACCGUCCCUGCACAACAAUACUAGCCCACCGGCGCCGGCCGCUCUGCCCGCGCCUUAUCUCCCCCUCAAUCAACGCCGCUUGUACGUUGAAUUACAAAAUUGCAAAUAACAAGCAACCAUAAACAAAUGACAGCUAAAUAUGAGAGAAAAUUGGAAACGUACCUAUUCUUAAACUUGUAUCAUCUGCUUUCAAGAUAGAUUCUUGAUUUAGAUUUUUAAUGGACUACAGUGAGUUCUUUAUUUUGGACAUGUUUUGGGCCCCGCGACGGGACACACUCAAGAGGAGCCCAGGUAGUGACCAGGGACCCUACCGGGGCGGGGGGCGCGGGCGACGGGCAGGGGGUAGUAGUCUACUUUCCUCCAAAGUGGAGCACCCGCCCCUUAUCUGCUACAGAUGACUUACAUUGUUUCCUCUCUGUUUCAAGUGCGGUGCUUCCGAGUCCAGAAAGAACAAAUCUGUGGCGGUUACGAUCCGCCGAAAAUACGGACUUCUCAUCACAUUUGUACCUACGGCUGCCAUGUUGAAAAUACAUCUAUUGGCUAUUUGAAA